GCCUGGUUUCCUGAGAGGUCAAAAGGCGCAGUCUGCAAAACUGUUGUUCGCCGGUUCGAAUCCGGCACCAGGCU
RNAcentral lists this transfer RNA (74 nucleotides) under Undibacterium hunanense. RNAcentral's name for it is "Undibacterium sp. CY18W tRNA-Cys". It matches the Rfam family "tRNA". From Rfam's summary of the family: Transfer RNA (tRNA) molecules are approximately 80 nucleotides in length. Their secondary structure includes four short double-helical elements and three loops (D, anti-codon, and T loops). The record is from RNAcentral. Lineage: Bacteria; Pseudomonadati; Pseudomonadota; Betaproteobacteria; Burkholderiales; Oxalobacteraceae.